RNAcentral lists this long non-coding RNA (2295 nucleotides) under Daucus carota (carrot). RNAcentral's name for it is "long non-coding RNA (DCAR_LNC002959)". Lineage: Eukaryota; Viridiplantae; Streptophyta; Magnoliopsida; Apiales; Apiaceae. The record is from RNAcentral.
CAUUGAACUGAUUAUUCAAACAGAAUCAACAAAUAAUAAACAAAAGAUCCAUACAUGCACUUCAUUUGGUCAUCCACUGCACACAAAAACUAGAAAGGCUUGGUUCACUGUUACAGAUAAUAAUGGCUGCCAAGGUCAACACAUUGGUACCUCCUUGACACUUUAUAAAAAUUGAAUUGUAACCUUGCGACACCUAAUCCUAAGCUGUAUACAAACGUUUCUGUGUUCUACUUUAUACUAUCUGACACAAUUGUCGUGCCUUCUGUCGCAAACGCCAUUGAUUUUGAGACAACUGAAUAAGCAGAUCAUCAUUCGGCUUGAGGUCUGCUUUCGAAGUUUACCAUCAUCUUGCUUAGUUUCUUGUUGCUUAUUCUUUGUUGAAAGACUCUGCUGUCAUCCAUACUGCAACCAAGGAAAUUAGUUAAUUACGAUAUUAGAAAUAAAUGUGUAAGAGUACUUCUGCGCUUGCUUAUUAAAAUUAGCUUAAUGCAGUUGAGAGAGGAAACUAACCCUUGUGAAACUGAUGAUUCAUCUGAUGGCAAAAGCUUGUGCGCGAGUUUUACUGCAUCGUUGUUACAGUUGAUCACUUGGUUGAAGCAUAGAUAUCGCCCAUAGGAUGAAAUGUCCUCGAAGACGCAUAUGUGGGCAUCUACCAAGAACCUAAGGUCCACGGUAACAAAAACCCCAUCUUCAUACAUUUCAGCAGCACCUUUCAAGUAAGGAUGUGAUAUGGUGAGGUCUGGACUCAUGAGCAGCCCUCCGUUUAUGGAUACCAUGUUCACCUCUCUGUCCAUGGCGAGUGCCCAAGCAGCUUUCUCCGCUAGUGUCUUUGAGAGUCCUUCCCAUAGCUACAGCCAUUCAACCAAUCAAUUUAAUACGUUAUCGAGUGCUUAUUAAUCAAACAAAAUUAUCUUUACACUCCUUUCUUUAGCCAUCGUGAUGAUUGCCUUGUCGCUAAUAACAGUGAAAUAUUCCUCCUGCCUAUUUAUUUUAUCUUUGCAUGGGCUAUAAUAAUUUACAUCUCUCUUAUCAUUGAAACAAUCCUAUGGAGUCUUAUUCUUCAGUUUUUAUUUCAUCUUCGGGGUAGGGGGACAGAGUAGUUGAUCCCGCACUCUGCCUAAAUAUUAUAUAUUAUUUGGUGAAGGUCAAUUACAAACGCUUGCAUACAUCCACUUAGGCUUGAAUGCUCGACCUCUUAUCACCGAGAGCUGAGGUAUACCUUGCGGACUAUGUCUACUGUCUAGACUAUGUCUUGCAGGUCUCCCUAAAGUUAAAUUUAUUAAAGCAUAUAAAACUAGACAAACUACGGCAAAAAGUCCAAUUAUUGCUAAUAAACACACUUAGCGGUAGAAGAAAGCUGAUUGAAUUNUGUUUGGAUAAAUUUAUUAAUAUUUACAUCUUAUGAGAUAGAAAAUUAUUAAUAUAAUCAUAAUAUCUUAUGAGUUAUACUUUAGAAUUCAAUAUUAUAUGAAUUUUCAAGUGGAUAAGAUCGGUCGAGUGGUCUCAGUUGUAGAUGGACCACUCAAUUGGAGAAGAGAUGACAUUUGUUUAUAAAUCGAACGAGAUUCAAACUGGUGAAAUAAUUGAAUUUGCCGGCGUUGUCAAAAGAAUAGCCUUGAAUUUGAGAAUGAAAAUGUCGGGAUUAUUGUUUUUGAUAGUGAUACUAUUAUGAAAGAAGAUGUCAAGUGCACGGAUUUAUUGUGGAUGUUUCUACGAAAAAUGCUAAGUGAUCAUAUAGUACAUGUUUAUGAAAUCAAAUUUCGAAAAUCAAAAUAAUCAUGAAAAAAUAUAAAUAUUUUCAAUUUCUCAUAUUCCAACUUACAAGUCAGAAAUCGAUUUAUAAUUUUUUUAAGCAAACAUUACGAAUAAGUUGAUUCUUAUAUAACAAGACAAGCAUGCCAAGCAUUUUAAGCCGCAGGGCCAUAGCAUCGUUUUCUUUCACAUUUCAAAAGGUAUAAACAAAGAAAGUGGAUUAGUAUACUUGUUUAUUACUCAGUGAACAAGUGAAUUGUACAUUGCUGAUUUGAAAUCUUUGUGCAUUGAACUGAUUAUUCAAACAGAAUCAACAAAUAAUAAACAAAAGAUCCAUACAUGCACUUCAUUUGGUCAUCCACUGCACACAAAAACUAGAAAGGCUUGGUUCACUGUUACAGAUAAUAAUGGCUGCCAAGGUCAACACAUUGGUACCUCCUUGACACUUUAUAAAAAUUGAAUUGUAACCUUGCGACACCUAAUCCUAAGCUGUAUACAAACGUUUCUGUGUUCUACUUUAUACUAUCUGACACAAUUGUCGUG